UAGUAGUUUUAUUCUUGCUGUUUCAUUCAGUUUUUGUUUGUUCUAUAUGUAAGUUUUGCGUGAUUUGUCUCAGGGUUUGGUUUCUAGAUGGGCCCCGGGGUGGAGUUGUAAUUUUCAUUAGUUAUUAUUGGUUAGUCAAGUAUGCUUGUAUCUAGCAAUUCGUUUUAGUUUCGGUUAAAUUUUGUGCCAGCAGCCGCGGUUAUACUUUGGAAGCGUUUGAAUGUGUUUGGCUUAAUUGUAGUUAUAUGUUUAGUGUUUGAUUUUCUUUUGUUUGUUUUUAGGUGAAAUUUUUAUUUUUUGUUGCUGUUUUUUAUUUGUUUGGAGGCUAUGAAACUCUUAUUUUAAACUAGGAUUAGAUACCCUAUUAUUUUUGAGCGUUAAUUUUUGUGCCUGAGUAGUAUUAGUUAUGUUCUUGAAACUUAAAGAAUUUGGCGGUAUCUUAUUCCAUUCAGAGGAAUCUGUCUCGUUAUCGAUAGUCCGCGUUGGACCUUACUUGGGGCUUAGUGGUUUGUAUACCGCCGUUUAUUGAUUGUCUUUUUAGAGUGUUGGUAAAUUUUCUGGUUUCUUUACUUUGGUUUAUUUCAGGUCAAGGUGCAGCCUUUCCCAAGUGUAUGAUGGAUUACAUUGUUAUUUGUUGUUUGGAUUGUUUGAUUUGAAUAUUUGCAUGAAAUUGGAUUUGGUUGUAAUGUUUUGUAGAUUGUUUUCAUGAUAAUUGGUUCUGAGAUAUGCACACAUCGCCCGUCGCUCUCGUUUAGUUGUUAAUGAGAUAAGUCGUAACAAAGUGGCUGUACCGGAAGGUGUGGCUGGAAUGAU
Molecule: non-coding RNA, 813 nt
Filed under: Microtermes obesi
Lineage: Eukaryota; Metazoa; Arthropoda; Insecta; Blattodea; Termitidae
Also listed under: 1 other name
Source: RNAcentral